Molecule: ribosomal RNA, 437 nt
Filed under: Lomentospora prolificans
Lineage: Eukaryota; Fungi; Ascomycota; Sordariomycetes; Microascales; Microascaceae
Description: Scedosporium prolificans Eukaryotic small subunit ribosomal RNA
Rfam family: Eukaryotic small subunit ribosomal RNA
Source: Rfam by way of RNAcentral
GAGAGCUCUUUCUUGAUUCUGUGGGUGGUGGUGCAUGGCCGUUCUUAGUUGGUGGAGUGAUUUGUCUGCUUAAUUGCGAUAACGAACGAGACCUUAACCUGCUAAAUAGCCCGUACUGCUUUGGCAGUUCGCCGGCUUCUUAGAGGGACUAUCGGCUCAAGCCGAUGGAAGUUUGAGGCAAUAACAGGUCUGUGAUGCCCUUAGAUGUCCUGGGCCGCACGCGCGUUACACUGACAGAGCCAGCGAGUAUUUCCUUGACCGGAAGGUCCGGGUAAUCUUGUUAAACUCUGUCGUGCUGGGGAUAGAGCAUUGCAAUUAUUGCUCUUCAACGAGGAAUCCCUAGUAAGCGCAAGUCAUCAGCUUGCGUUGAUUACGUCCCUGCCCUUUGUACACACCGCCCGUCGCUACUACCGAUUGAAUGGCUCAGUGAGACCUCC